This 301-nucleotide ribosomal RNA is filed under the name uncultured bacterium. RNAcentral describes it as "partial 16S ribosomal RNA". It matches the Rfam family "Bacterial small subunit ribosomal RNA", at positions 509 to 807 of the family's 1533-position model. The record is from RNAcentral.
CAGUAGCCGCGGUAAAACAGAGGGUGCAAGCGUUAAUCGGAUUUACUGGGCGUAAAGGGCGCGUAGGUGGUUAUGUAAGUGAGAUGUGAAAUCCCCGGGCUCAACCUGGGAACUGCAUCUUAUACUGCGUAGCUGGAGUGCAGUAGAGGGUAGUGGAAUUUCCGGUGUAGCGGUGAAAUGCGUAGAUAUCGGAAGGAACACCAGUGGCGAAGGCGGCUACCUGGACUGACACUGACACUGAGGCGCGAAAGCGUGGGGAGCAAACAGGAUUAGAUACCCCCGUAGUCCCUGUCUCUUAUAC